GGGAUAAUACCAAAAAUGAGCUUCCUCUGACUUUGAGCCCAAUGUCCAGGCGGUCCAUUAUCCGUACCUUCCUCGAGAGCCCCAUCUGCCCCCCCUUUAAUGGGGGGGCAAAGGUCAAAUGAGAGGAGAUGGAAAGUCAUUCUGACUGCAUCCCAUCAUAUAGAGCUAUGUGGCACGCAGUCAAUCAGGAGAGGCUACAUGAUGUAGGUUUACCCAGUGCGUAGGUUACAAGUGGAAUGAUGGCUUGAGAUGGUGUACCCUAACUUGACUUAUACAGACAAGAAGCCAUAAUUAGUGUACUUUGAUCUGCACUUUAGAUGGAGGGCCAUUGUCCGGUAUGCCGAAGUCUGAGAGCUGGUGGACACCCUUGUUGCUAGAUAGUGCCGGUCAUGAGGAUUGGCCAAUCCAUCGGGAUCAACCCCUUCAUUAACUAAUAGCGGCAUGGAUCGGUAAUCGGAGAGGGGAAUGCUAGGAAAUCUCCCCAGAAUGCAUCAUUCGAAGUCAGCAGGG
Molecule: long non-coding RNA, 510 nt
Filed under: Elaeis guineensis (African oil palm)
Lineage: Eukaryota; Viridiplantae; Streptophyta; Magnoliopsida; Arecales; Arecaceae
Description: long non-coding RNA (EGUI_LNC033556)
Source: RNAcentral